AACGAACGCUGGCGGCAUGCCUAACACAUGCAAGUCGAACGAGACCUUCGGGUCUAGUGGCGCACGGGUGCGUAACGCGUGGGAACCUGCCCUUAGGUUCGGAAUAACUCCCCGAAAGGGGUGCUAAUACCGGAUAAUGUCUUCGGACCAAAGAUUUAUCGCCUUUGGAUGGGCCCGCGUUGGAUUAGCUAGUUGGUAGGGUAAAAGCCUACCAAGGCGACGAUCCAUAGCUGGUCUGAGAGGAUGAUCAGCCACACUGGGACUGAGACGCGGCCCAGACGCAGACGGGAGGGACAGGGGGGAAAUAGUGAAAAGGGGGGAAAGGCUGGAACACACAUGGCCGGGUGAGUAAUAAGGGCUUAGGGGUGGAAAAGCUUUUUCACCGGGAAAAAAAAAGACGGUGCGGGGAAAAUAAGCCCGGGCUACCCCCGUC
This 433-nucleotide ribosomal RNA is filed under the name uncultured bacterium. RNAcentral describes it as "partial 16S ribosomal RNA". It matches the Rfam family "Bacterial small subunit ribosomal RNA", at positions 29 to 507 of the family's 1533-position model. The record is from RNAcentral.